UUGAUGUGAUGAUUUUCUUCUCACGAUGGUCUUCUGAGCACCUUUGGUGAGGGAGCUAUGCUGAGAUGCCUUUUGGCUUUUUCUGAUCAAGUCCA
Molecule: small nucleolar RNA, 95 nt
Organism: Lethenteron reissneri (Far Eastern brook lamprey)
Lineage: Eukaryota; Metazoa; Chordata; Hyperoartia; Petromyzontiformes; Petromyzontidae
Product: small nucleolar RNA SNORD35
Source: RefSeq, a predicted model, not a curated record